CAGAGACAGAGACUGGCGCAUGCGCGUUUGCCGGCUUCCCUUCGCUCGCCCGCCCGGCUCUUUCGGCGCAGACGCUGCGGCGGUUCGUCGUCUCCCGCCCGGGCAGCGGCAGAAGCGGGAGGCGGCUCAGGUUUGGCUCCUUUCACGCCGUCCCUUUUGGGGCUGCGGCCUCUCCGGGGUGCCCGGGCUGAAACGCCUGAGGGGGGGCGCGGAUAAUGUGAGGGGGAGACAGUUUCUUCUUUCCCGCGCUUUUCUGUGAGGGGAAAAUUCCCCCCUUCGCUUUUUUUUUUCUGGGGGGGGGUACCUGGUCCAUGGGGGGGUGAAGUCCCCCCUACACCCCGAAGGCGGAAAACUGUUGUUAUUUGCUAAAAGUUAAACGGUAAAGCAGACACGCAACAAGCAGCCGGCGGGGGGGGGGUGUCGUUGCCCGCCCCCCCCUUUAAUCAAGUAAAUGGUUAUAAAAUUUUAGGGUGAACGCACAUAGCAGACGCACGCUUCAGUCUUCCCAGCCUCCCCAAAUUGAGGAAAUGUUUCCUCGGGAAAAUUGCAUAUUAUUGUAGCGCACAGAACCACCACCCCCAAAAAACACACGUCUUGGCUCUCCUAAUGGAUUAUUUCCUCUGAAGAAGGAGAUCUCCUGGAAGAAAUAAUAACAACAACAACAACAAUAAUAUUUUAUUAUUUAUACCCCGCCCAGCUGGCUGAGUCUCCAACAACAACAACAACAACAAUAAUAAUAAUAAUAAUAUUUUAUUAUUUAUACCCCACCCAUCUGGCUGAGUUUCCCCAGCCACUCUGGGCGGCUCCCAAUCAAAUGUUAAAAACAGUACAGCAUUGAAUAUUAAAAACUUCCCUAAACAGGGCUGCCUUCAGAAACCUUUUCCCAUAGUUCUUUCAUUUAGCAAAUCCUGCCUUAAGGGCAUAUUUUGUGCAUGAAUAGUCCUGUGACCUGGAUUCGCAGACUCAAGUGUUUACCAUCACAAAAGAAUGGGCCAGGCUGCCCAGGUAACGCAAUCCGUGAAAACGUCAUCAGUGACGUACGUGUGAUGCUUUUAGGGUGGCCUUUGGCUAAGGGGUUGAGCAACGCCGAAAGUCUUUGUAGAAACCCAAGAAUUACCAACAAUAGAAGAAUGACAGAUGAAGAUGAUGGAUUUUUUGGAGCUAGCCGACCUAACUGGAAGAGUUCGCAACCAGAAGGAGGAGGAGUAUCAGGAAGUGUGGAUUAAAUUCAAUGAUUACUUACUUAAAUAUGUUAAGUUAAAUUAACUGAAAACAGCUUGCAGAUACAUAAUUGGUUUAGGAUUUUAUUUAUGUUUAGUGAUGAAUUAAUAUGUUUAAUUUCAUAAUGUGAAGAUCUAAGGAUGUUAAUAUUUAAGUUAAAUUUUAUAAGAAUGUUGAUUUGGAAAACCGUUAAAAGGACAUGCAAUGAAAUUCAACCAAGGGGAAGCAAGGAAGUCACUUAACAAUGUUGAUAAGUGUAAUUUUCAAUAAGGCUAUGAUUUAUGUUUGUUUGUCUUAUGUGUUUGUUUAUAAUGUUGUGAAAACCGAUAAUUUUUUUUUUGGAAAAAAAAAGAAAGUCUUUGUAAAGAAUAUAAAAGAUUCCUGCACACUUUGUUCUUCUUGGUCUCUCCCACCUCCUUGCAGGGCGGGGAAGCUGUUGCAACAGGAAAAUGGAGAUCUGCCUUGCUUUCCACUGGAUCCUGCCUCCACCCAUUCUUCUCUGACUGAUCAUGGACUUAGGGGACUCAUGAAGUCCCUUUGGGGAGUUAGGUAGCAAAAGCCAACCCCCCGAUUUUUUUUCUGCAACGAAAAUAAAUAAAAAUACUUAACUGACCAAUUGCAUAGGAGAUAUCUUGGUUCUGCCACCCAACAUUAUUCCUGGCUACUCCCAUGCCCCCAGCUACAAUUAAAGCCAAGGGGGAAAUGCUAUAGUGGACACAUGGCGCUAUUACAUGUGCUGCAUGAUUCCCGUUUCCCAUAUUUCUAUGUUUAGUGUGGCAGCGGCUGCACUCUGGAACUCCCUGCCUGUUGACAUUAUGCAGGUGCCAAAGUCAGGGUCAUUUUAAUCUCUAUUAGUAUUUUUAACUUUUGUUUGUAUUUAAAUGGGAUUGUGGGUUUUCUUAUUUUAUUUUACGGUCUUCCUGCAUUGCAGAGGGUUGGACUAGAUGACUUUCGUGGUAUCUUCCAACUCAACAAUUCUAUGAUUUUAUGUUGUAUCUUUCUUGUAAACGGCUUUGAGGUUUUCUUACAAUCAAGCGGUGUUCAAAUUUUAUGAAAUAAACAACAACAACAACAAUAAAACAUUCCACCUGCUUCUAAAAGGCCACAGAUAAUUCAAGGCCAAAGGCCUGGUUACAAUGGAAGUAAGGUAAAGGGACCCCUGACCAUUAGGUCCAGUCGUGGCCGACUCUGGUGUUGCAGCGCUCAUAUCGCUUCAUUGGCCGAGGGAGCUGGCGUACAGGUUCCGGGUCAUAUGGCCAGCAUGACUAAGCCGCUUCUGGCGAACCAGAGCAGCGCACGGAAACGCCGUUUACCUUUCCUAUUUAUCUACUUGCACUUUGAUGUGCUUUCGAACUGCUAGGUUGGCAGGAGCAGGGACCGAGCAAUGGGAGCUCACCCGUCGAGGGGAUUCGAAACACUGACCUACUGAUCGGCAAGUCCUAGGCUCUGUGGUUUAACCCACAGCGCCACCCGCUGAAUGGAAGUAUUCAGUUGUAAAUUAGGGGUUAAUAAAUUCUGCUUGCUUCAUGCUUAUUUAUUAUUUUAUUUAAUUACACUUAAUACAUAAAUUUAAUAUAACAGCAUUGUGUUCUCAUGCUCUGGAGGGCAGGACACAAACCAAUAGCUUGGAACAGUUUCCCUCGAGGCUGUGGGCUCUCCUUCCUUGGAGGUUUUAAAGCAGAGGUUGGAUAGUCACUGAUGCUUAGUUGAGAUUUCUGCAUUUCAGGGGCUUGGACUAGAUGACCCUCAGGGUCCCUAAUCCCUGUCUGUUCCCUAUCUGACUGUCAAGACCUAUCUCAGCCCUAACCGAACCCUAUCUAACAGUUUUAACUGCCAGGGUCUAACUUCCUACUGGCUGGAUGGAACACUACCCAGCUCUGAUUAGUUUCUAGAUCUACAGGAGGCUGACCCAAGGUCCAUCCAUCACAAUAUGUGAUUGAAGUUUAGACCCAGUAGCAAAGGAAAAUAUUUGGGAAGUGUAUACAACUCAUAAAAGAGGUGGAAAAGUUUUGUUAAUGGGUGAAUUUAUUUCUUUUUAAUUUAUUAAAUUAAUAUUCCAUCCUUCCUCUGAGAGACAGAGAGAGUACAGGGGGUUCCAGUAUAGACCAGCAGACACAGAAAUGGGUUCCAAUAUCUUUAAAAAAUUAUGGCAUCAUAACUAUUCUGAAAUAAUCUGAGGGUGCUCCCAGAUUGGAAUUCAUUGUGGUAUUGGUGCUCGUCAUGCCAUGCAUGUAAAUUUUGCAGUGUUCACACUACACUGCGAUUAAAAUAUAAGCCCACGCACCCACACAUCAGAUUUCCUCUGCAAUGAAACAUAGUUCUUGAAAUUUCCACAUAAUUUCCACAAUAAUAUGUAAAGGAGCCAGAAGUUAACUCUGGGAUUGCACACAAGUUCCUUAGGAUCUCAUAUUGCCCACCCCUGCAUUAACUAUUGUUCAGGGUUUUCCUUUCCAAUCAAAUUUUGCUCUUGCAGGGGCACUUUUAUAUUUAGCAAAUGCCACCAGGUGGCACUGUAAUACACCAUCUCUAAACAAACCUAAAAAUUACAGCAAACUUAAAUACUACAGAUAUGAAAACUACAAGAUUGUUAAUUUUAAUUUUUGUAUUUUAUAAUGUUAAGAGUGUUUCACUAAAUUACCUUACUUUUUUCUCUUUAUAACCAAAGAUUAAAUAACAAUCUUUGGUUAUAAAGUGGGAGAAUGGACCACUUUGUCAGAUGUAUGAAGUUUUCUCCUUACUUGGCAAACCAUAUUCAUGGUUACGGACAUCAAAAUAGUAAAAACAGGCAACAGUGAUGCAUCAGGUUUCUACGCAUAGUCCAAAUUAUUUGAAGAAGGAAAGUAUUGGAUCAAAAAACUUCUUGCAUAAAGUUAUUUCUCAGUACAUUUUUCUUAUGUACUCAUGAUUUUCUCACUUUAUCAGUUUUCCAGUCUUAAGUUCAGUUCCCAACAUGUCCAUAUCAGUUUGCAUUUUUUUAAAAAAGAAAGGUCUCGUGAAAAUUCAUCAAUAUUGAAGAGAUUUCCCCCCCCAAAAAAACACAAAUAUGCAAAUCAUAUUUUCCUAACUAUAUUUUUUUAAUGCUGCUUUUGCUAAUAUUUCCUUUUUAUGCAUACUUUACUUGGAUGAGGAACUACAUUGCAAAAUAGGGAGAGCUGUGAAUUUCAAAGGACUGCUGUGUUUCGGUUCAUAUCUUGUUUUGAAAAGUGAAUUAAGUUGGUUUGCCUUUAAAUGUGAAAUGAGUCAAAUUUCUCCCACAUUCGCUAGUGGCAAGUCAGUCACCCCAGAUCAUUAAUCUAAAAUGUUUACUUAAUUAUAACAAUUGAAAUAACUCCCUUUGUGGGAUCAAACUGUUUUUGAAAUACACCAAUGAGCCACUAGAACACUUUGCUUUCUCUGAUACUGUUGAGCCACAGGAAAAAUAAGUUGGGAUUGCAGCCAAUGGCAAACAGAAUCUGAGUCCAGAUAGGUGGCAACACACACUCAGGCACUUUCUGCAAUGACUUCCCAUUUCUGGAACACUCCUCCGGGAAGCUCCAGGCAAAAACAUCCCUUUUAAACCAGGCCUUUGCCUUUUAACCAUCUAUGGCCGUUUUGUAUGGGUGGGAUGUUUUAAUGUAGUUUUACAUAUGCAAGUUUGAAUCGUUUGCAUCAUCCUGUGUGGCUGAGACAUAGACAAAACUUUCCUAUCACUUGAAAAUGCAGUAUUUUUCAAUGGAGGUAACUUAUUUGGGUGGAAGUUAUCAAGUGAUGAUUUUUUAAGUGCAAGUGUUAACCAGCCCUAGAACCAGUAGCGAUCAGUGGUGUGGUGCUGGCAAAAUGGGGUUUGCUCCCAUGCCUCUUCAACGCUGAGGGUUGCUCCCAGUUUCUGAGAGGCAGAGGUGAGGUGCGGGGAGGUCAGCGCAAUGUGGUUGAAGCCAGCCCAGCAUUUCUGCCUCUGUAUAGGGACGCGGGUGGUGCUGUGGGUUAAACCACAGAGCCUAGGUCUUGCCGAUCAGAAGGUUGGUUGUUUGAAUCCCUGGGAAGCGGUGAGCUCCCGUUGCUCGGUCCCUGCUCCUGCCAACCUAGCAGUUCAAAAGCACGUCAAAGUGCAAGUAGAUAAAUAGGUACCGCUCUGGCGGGAAGGUAAACGGCGUUUCUGUGCACUGCUCUGGUUCGCCAGAAGCGGCUUAGUCAUGCUGGCCACAUGACCCGGAAGCUGUACGCCGGCUCCCUCGGCCAAUAAAGCGAGAUGAGCGCCGCAACCCCAGAGUCGGCCACGACUGGACCUAAUGGUCAGGGGUCCCUUUACCUUUAUAUGCACCACACUGAUCUCCUAUGCCUUGCUCCACUCUUAGGAACCAGCAGCAAACCUACCACAUAUAGCACUUACUGAAAUGAGUAGGAGUUUGACAAUUUUUGAGCUGCCUCCAGCUUCCAUUCAGUUAAGAACACCUAAACAUUAUAAUGUAUCUUUAAAUUAGGAGUCAUUUACAGGAUCAUUGUUGAUUCCCCCCCCCACCCCAAGCUGGCAAGGCUCAUUGGACAGCAACAAGAAACUUUGUCUUUAGUGUCACCAGUCCAGUCGAGGGAUGCUCUGCCAACAGAGAUUCAGCAGGCGCCUUCUCUUCUAACCUCUAAAUGCCUGUUGAAAACAUUUCUAUGCUGCCAGGCUUACACUGGCAAUUAAAAUAUCCCUUUGCAAUAUUUGAUCUCUGGUUUUCAAUUUUUAUAUGUUUUUAUUUUAUGGUUUUAUGCAUGGUUGUUGUUUAUGAAUGGCGGUAUAUAAAUGUAUUUAU
Non-coding RNA from Podarcis lilfordi (Lilford's wall lizard), 5996 nucleotides. Lineage: Eukaryota; Metazoa; Chordata; Lepidosauria; Squamata; Lacertidae. The record is from the annotation of a GenBank genome assembly.